CGCCCGGGUAAUACGAGCGCAAGCUUAAAAUCUAAAGGACUUGACGGUGUCCCACCCCCCUAGAGGAGCCUGUUCUAUAAUCGAUAACCCCCGCUUUACCUCACCACUUCUUGCUCUUACGCAGCCUGUAUACCUCCGUCGCAAGCUUGCCGUAUGAAUGAACUAUAGCAAGCUCAAUGACAUACUUGCCAAUACGUCAGGUCAAGGUGCAGCCUAUGAAGUGGCAAGCAAUGGGCUACAAUUUCUAGUCUAGAAUAAACAAACAACCAUCUGAAACAUGGAUAUAAAGGUGGAUUUAGCAGUAAAGGGGGACAAUAGAGUCCCCUUUAAUAGCGGCCCUGGGACGCG
RNAcentral lists this ribosomal RNA (348 nucleotides) under Boophis quasiboehmei. RNAcentral describes it as "partial 12S ribosomal RNA". It matches the Rfam family "Bacterial small subunit ribosomal RNA", at positions 870 to 1383 of the family's 1533-position model. The record is from RNAcentral. Lineage: Eukaryota; Metazoa; Chordata; Amphibia; Anura; Mantellidae.